GGUGUUUUACAAUGACUUUAACUCAUAAUAUUUGAUAAUAUAAAUGUUUAUAUUCCAAGCAUGCAAAUGCAAAGGAGCUCACAAGCUAUCUGAUGAAUAUAGUUUCCUUGGAAAGAGUGAUUCCAACAUCUUUUCCACUACAACUUAAAUGGAAUAAAUAUUCAAAUGGAAAGGUUAAAGAUGUUAAAAAUGCGACAGUCCUAACUUCUGAGGGAAGAACAGACAGGUUUCUACUGAAUGAUGUAAGAAUUACCACUUAAAACCAUUAAGAACC
Molecule: unclassified non-coding RNA, 274 nt
Filed under: Hevea brasiliensis (rubber tree)
Lineage: Eukaryota; Viridiplantae; Streptophyta; Magnoliopsida; Malpighiales; Euphorbiaceae
Source: RNAcentral